CGCGUAGGCGGCCGAAUAAGUCUGAUGUGAAAUCCCACGGCUCAACCGUGGAACUGCAUCUGAAACUGUUCGGCUCGAGUCCGGGAGAGGGUAGUGGAAUUCCCAGUGUAGCGGUGAAAUGCGUAGAUAUUGGGAGGAACACCGGUGGCGAAGGCGGCUACCUGGACCGGUACUGACGCUGAGGCGCGAAAGCUAGGGUAGCAAACA
Molecule: ribosomal RNA, 207 nt
Filed under: uncultured bacterium
Lineage: Bacteria
Description: partial 16S ribosomal RNA
Rfam family: Bacterial small subunit ribosomal RNA
Source: RNAcentral